AUCAUGGAGAAGCUGCCGACCUGGGCGCAGUUCUCGUAGCCAGUGAUACAGUCUCUCUCUGCAUGAUGGGAGGGAGUUGAAAGCAUUCAAGGUUUUACGUUCCCUGAGUAGGUUCAUUGCCCAUGGAAUAUUCAGGAACAGCAAAACGACGAGACGGACAGAACAAGUAAAUGGAGGGACAGGAGCACUGAGUGACCUUCCUGCGAGCGACAGGUGUCUUGGGUCGGCUACAGGAAGACAACAAUUGGGCUAGAAGGAUCACAGCUCUGCACACACCUGGUUAGCUCUGUCCUUGUCCUAUCGGAGAAGGAUGUCAAAGCAGAGACACUACAGACCCUCUUUUAGAUAGCCUCACAGAGUUGACCUGUCGUAACCUGACAAAACACCUUUUUUCCCUUCAUAGCAGUCUCGAGAAAAAGAGUUUUUCUUGUCAGCGUAACUAUUUAAAAUAGAGUGAUUCUGACAUUUUAAUUUUUAUUUAAUAAAUUGAAAAAGUUGUCAACAGUUCGACCUUGAUUUUGUCACACAAGUUCAUUUUAGCAACAAAAACAUUCUGGCACCAAAAUGAAAAGAAAAAAAAGAAAAAAAAAAGGUGCUUUGUCAGCUUACGGCAGAAUACAUGUACCAUGUAUCUCUCAUAUCACUCACUCCCAUCGAUCCCAUAAUGCCAUAAGUACUAAACAUGAGGCCAACACUUUUCACUGUAUUGAACUGAAAGGGAUGCAAAAUCCAAAAGUGCAGUAUAACAUGGAGAGCUCAAGUUCGUCGGAACCGACCUUCGUGGUUUAAGAGACCGUAGUUCGAGGGAUAUCUUACAAUUAAAAGGUAAAGAAGAAAAAAAAAAAAAACCAAAAAAAAAAAACCCCCACAAAAAAGCGGGACCGCAGGCACAGUUCAACAGAUGCGUGACUUCGAGUCUUCUGUGUUUGACCUAUCCGUGUUAUACUGUACAUCAUUCAACAAACAUUUACUUUUAACCCUGUUGAAUAACCAUACUAUCCGAGUCUGAGAAUCUAUAUCAUUAGACAGUUUGGUGAACAAUUCAACUGGUAUACUUUAGGACAAUUUCAUUUGGAAGCCACUGGCUUCCUGAUAAUAAAACAGCUAAAAUUGUGUUGAUAUCUUUACUGUGUAAAAAGU
Aplysia californica (California sea hare) is the source of this 1140-nucleotide long non-coding RNA. RefSeq lists it as uncharacterized. The record is from RefSeq and is a predicted model, not a curated record. The transcript is spliced from 3 exons. NCBI's taxonomy places the organism in Eukaryota, Metazoa, Mollusca, Gastropoda, Aplysiida, Aplysiidae.